CCAAUCGGGCGGUAAAUUCCGUCCA
Molecule: non-coding RNA, 25 nt
Filed under: Arabidopsis thaliana (thale cress)
Lineage: Eukaryota; Viridiplantae; Streptophyta; Magnoliopsida; Brassicales; Brassicaceae
Source: RNAcentral